This 478-nucleotide ribosomal RNA is filed under the name uncultured bacterium. RNAcentral's name for it is "bacterial SSU rRNA". It matches the Rfam family "Bacterial small subunit ribosomal RNA", at positions 355 to 825 of the family's 1533-position model. The record is from RNAcentral.
UGGGGAAUAUUGGACAAUGGGCGCAAGCCUGAUCCAGCGACGCCGCGUGUGUGAAGAAGGCCUGCGGGUUGUAAAGCACUUUCGAUGGGAACGAAAUGUGCCGGGUUAAUACCCCGGUAAGCUGACGUUACUCAAUGAAGAAGCACCGGCUAACUCUGUGCCAGCAGCCGCGGUAAUACAGAGGGUGCGAGCGUUAAUCGGAAUUACUGGGCGUAAAGCGCACGUAGGUGGCGACGUAAGUCGGGUGUGAAAGCCCCGGGCUCAACCUGGGAAUUGCAUUCGAGACUGCAUUGCUGGAGUACGGAAGAGGAGGGCGGAAUUCCCGGUGUAGCGGUGAAAUGCGUAGAUAUCGGGAGGAACAUCAGUGGCGAAGGCGGCCCUCUGGUCCAGUACUGACACUGACGCUGAGGCGCGAAAGCCAGGGGAGCAAACGGGAUUAGAUACCCCCGUAGUCCCUGAGCGGGCUGGCAAGGCGCAU